This 873-nucleotide ribosomal RNA is filed under the name uncultured bacterium. RNAcentral describes it as "bacterial SSU rRNA". It matches the Rfam family "Bacterial small subunit ribosomal RNA", at positions 24 to 919 of the family's 1533-position model. The record is from RNAcentral.
UCAGGAUGAACGCUGGCGGCGCGCCUAACACAUGCAAGUCGAACGGCACCCCUCUCCGGAGGGAAGCGAGUGGCGAACGGCUGAGUAACACGUGGAGAACCUGCCCCCUCCCCCGGGAUAGCCGCCCGAAAGGACGGGUAAUACCGGAUACCCCCGGGCGCCGCAUGGCGCCCGGGCUAAAGCCCCGACGGGAGGGGAUGGCUCCGCGGCCCAUCAGGUAGACGGCGGGGUGACGGCCCACCGUGCCGACAACGGGUAGCCGGGUUGAGAGACCGACCGGCCAGAUUGGGACUGAGACACGGCCCAGACUCCUACGGGAGGCAGCAGUGGGGAAUCUUGCGCAAUGGGGGGAACCCUGACGCAGCGACGCCGCGUGCGGGACGGAGGCCUUCGGGUCGUAAACCGCUUUCAGCAGGGAAGAGUCAAGACUGUACCUGCAGAAGAAGCCCCGGCUAACUACGUGCCAGCAGCCGCGGUAAUACGUAGGGGGCGAGCGUUAUCCGGAUUCAUUGGGCGUAAAGCGCGCGUAGGCGGCCCGGCAGGCCGGGGGUCGAAGCGGGGGGCUCAACCCCCCGAAGCCCCCGGAACCUCCGCGGCUUGGGUCCGGUAGGGGAGGGUGGAACACCCGGUGUAGCGGUGGAAUGCGCAGAUAUCGGGUGGAACACCGGUGGCGAAGGCGGCCCUCUGGGCCGAGACCGACGCUGAGGCGCGAAAGCUGGGGGAGCGAACAGGAUUAGAUACCCUGGUAGUCCCAGCCGUAAACGAUGGACGCUAGGUGUGGGGGGACGAUCCCCCCGUGCCGCAGCCAACGCAUUAAGCGUCCCGCCUGGGGAGUACGGCCGCAAGGCUAAAACUCAAAGGAAUUGACGGAAG